GACUUGGGCAAUUGAGUGGCACAGCCCCCUCCUGUCAUCCUGGCAGGGUGACAUGCAUCACUUGAAGAACAGAAGGGAAACAACCUUCAAGCAUCUUCAUUUCACCUCGUGAACCAAGCCCCAUGAUCUGGACUCAUGUAAAGAGACCUUCUGACAUCAUCACAACUCUUUCUGAGAGGAGAAAUCAACAUCAAGGAAGCUAAAACUGAAUGUACUUUCUGGGCCUGUAUUGGGUUUAUAUGCCCAGAGUUUGGCAGCAGGGGUUCUGCAGGAAUGGCCUUUGUGAACAGAACCUGGAAACUACCCCAUGUCAAAUAAAAGCUGAUUCUAGCUGGUUCCAAAAGGGAUCCAAUCCACUGCUGGCCAGAGCUCAGCCAUUUGUGUCUCCUAAUGUGGAUGUACAGCAUGUCGCACAAGAUUUAUUAAUGCCAAAAUGAAUGUUUGGCUUUUUCUUAGCAACUCUUCAUUUAAAGGUCUCUAUCCCUGGGGCUCAUCUGCUUUGGAACCUGCAACAGGACCAAGUAUUUGUUCAUCUGUUUGAUUUCUCUUCUUGCAAUGAAAUCACAGUCUUUUACCACUGACAUGCCUGUGUAAUUAUCAGGUUAUGAAAACAGACUAUAGAUGAAAGUGAAAUGGAAGAAGAGGAAUAAAUGUGCUGGUUGCAUGAGUGCUAUCAACAAAUAACUGUUAGUCUUCAUUUUUACCAGAAAAAAGAAUUUGUAAAAGACUUCCCCAGUACAUGAAGGGUGUUCUUUAAAAAAAGUGGGCUACUUUUAGCACCUCCUAUAUCAGAAAUUCUAUUAUGUUUCUCUUCAUCAAGAAAUAAUACAAAGAUGAAUUUUCUCUCCAUUUCUGUUCUUUGUCUCACUACAUAUUGUUCAUAAAUAAAUGAUACAGUACAACCUUUCUAUAAGGCUUAAUCCCAAACAGGAUAUAAAGCAUGCAUAGACUGAGCAUACAGCAGCUUUGUAAGAAGUUGAGAACACUGAGAAGCAUUUGAGUACCUUGAAAACAGAGGGCAAACAUAUGAUCUCAGUCACAUUACUUGUGGUUGCAGCAGUUGAACAGAUCAAUAUGAUGGGAGAAGGUGUUUCACCAGAGGUGCAAUGAUAGAAGGAUCAGCAUGAUAGAAGGGUUCUAUAAAGGAAGGGAAGAAGAUUGCUUACCAUAUUGGAUUCCAGGUUCACAGGGGAAAGCUCCACACUUUGUCCAGAAAGAGAUCCUUCCCCAGUGCCACUCAGUCCUUAAAUGGAGUCUAAGAGAAUUGGAGCCAGGCUCCACAUAUUAUUCUUUCAGCUGUACCUACCUAAACACUGUUUCAGCAAUUCAGUACCAGGAGUAGAUUUAGUGAUCUAGACUUAAACACCAAUUUGCUGUCAUCUCAGUUCAUACUUUAUUAUUAGGCAUAGAUGCACAGCCAGAAGGAGCCUUUAGGUGGAACUCAGCAUGAUAUCAGGUUGAAGACUGGGAUAGAAAUGGAAAAGCCAACAAAAACUCCUAUUUCUCUGCAUUUUUCAGCUAAACUAGUAUCUUGUGGCCAGAAAAUCAAAGGUAAUAAUUAGAUAUGAAAGCAAAACACAAACAUCUGGAUUAAAUAUUGAUACACACGGACGACCAGUCAAACUUUCAUUACUUGUAAACAAGCCAAAAUUUUACCUUGGUGUUCAUAGUUGUGGAAAAGAAUUGUUGUGGCAAUGUGUUCUGUAUUAUAUAGAUAACUAAUGUGAUAUGGGUCAAGGAAUUGCUGUGUGUUAUAUUUAGCCAGUAUGAAGACAGAAGUUUUAGCAUUAAUCAUUGAUGUAAGAAGGGCCAGACUUCACAAUUGCAAAAGACAGACAUGAUUUGAGAUCUGUGCUCAUUUCUGGAUCUGUUUUCAACUUUGAGCUGCUUUAUUUCUUUCUCUUGUUUUGAGAUUUUCUCUUGGGGAUUGCCAUAAAUUAGAUAUCUUGAUGUUAAUUUUAGCCAAAGGACAUGAGAAAAGAUGUAAAUUAUCAUAAAAUAGGUAAUUAUCCUUCAUGCACUCCCUGAUUAUUCCUUUUUAAUUGAAUGGUCUAGCUAAAGGAAAGACCACAGUAAAUGGAAUAAAAAAAACCAUAAUACUCUGCACAUGUAUUGUACUUUGGAUCAUCAAAGUGUUACAUAAAUUAGCUAAUUAAUGUAAUAAAUUUUUGAAUGCUUUUUUUUCAGAUAGGACAUAUUUUAAGAAAGACAGUAUCAGCACACAGUUUGAUUAUCUAUGUCAGUGUUCAUUAAGUAAGAAAUAAUAGAAAAUGAUGCAAAGAUCUCAUGUAAAAUCAGGAUGGAAUAAACAUCCUUUGGGUUAAUUUUGGUUUUGUUUCAAUUUAGUUAACAAAAAUUUCCAAGCACACAAAUAUGAAUCCAGAGCACUCAUGCAUUUUAUGGAAAGUAGUAUGCAGGUUUGAUGUCAGCAUUUAGAACACAAAUUAUUCACUGUUAAUUAUGGUGUUUUAUUUUGUUGUUGUAUUUUUCGUUAGUUUUGCCUUUAUUAUUUGUUAAUUCUUUGUCUACAUAUCUUUUCUGUGAACUCAUUUCUUACUAGGGCCUCAAACCUGUUAUGGGUCAGGAUGUUUUUCUCUUCAUUUGGGACCACAAAGAGUUUGAGCUUCCUUAUGUGUACCUUUACACUGUAUCCUGAUAAUUACUGAUGGGGAAAAUUCUCUGUAGUACAGAACUACUGUGUCAUCAAUAGCAUGGACAACAUACUGUUGUUCUCAUAUAAAGUUCCUAUUUAUGUCAAUGAGAGUUUUGGGCUUAACUGAAUUAGCAUUCAGUCAGAAACACUGUAACCGUUUUCCUGUUCAUUAAAUUCCUCAGAAGUCCUGUGACUGUUCAGUAGUCUUCAUCAUAAUUUCUGUUCUUUGUCCCACAUUUAUAUUUUGUACUAUCAAAUUUACAAUAAAA
Molecule: long non-coding RNA, 2922 nt
Organism: Lagopus leucura (white-tailed ptarmigan)
Lineage: Eukaryota; Metazoa; Chordata; Aves; Galliformes; Phasianidae
Exons: 7
Source: RefSeq, a predicted model, not a curated record